RNAcentral lists this ribosomal RNA (397 nucleotides) under uncultured bacterium. RNAcentral's name for it is "partial 16S ribosomal RNA". It matches the Rfam family "Bacterial small subunit ribosomal RNA", at positions 523 to 918 of the family's 1533-position model. The record is from RNAcentral.
AUACGUAGGUGGCAAGCGUUAUCCGGAUUUACUGGGCGUAAAGGGCGUGUAGGCGGUCUUGCAAGUCAGAAGUGAAAUUCCUGAGCUCAACUCGGGCGCUGCUUCUGAAACUGCAGGACUUGAGUGCUGGAGGGGAUAGCGGAAUUCCUAGUGGAGCGGUAAAAUGCGCAGAUAUUAGGAAGAACACCGGUGGCGAAGGCGGCAAUCUGGACAGUAACUGACGCUGAGGCGCGGAAGCGUGGGGAGCAAACAGGAUUAGAUACCCGGGUAGUCCACGCCGUAAACGAUGAAUACUAGGUGUAGGGGGUAUCGACUCCCUCUGUGCCGCAGUUAACACAAUAAGUAGUCCGCCUGGGGAGUACGGCCGCAAGGUUGAAACUCAAAUGAAUUGGCGGGG